UGUGCCUGUGAGGUGUGUAGAAGAGACCCUGCUUGUUCAGUGUGGGCAAAGCCUCAGUGGGAAGACCAGAGGUGCACAGUCCAAAGAGAGGGCUGAGAUGGCCGUCCUGGCACUAGAAAACCAGCAAAACUGUUUUCAUCUUUCCUUUCUCUUCACAUCUUGCAAAACUGUUUCUUUGCCCUACAAGCCCCUGGAUGGCAGAAUGCUGUUGCCAAGCAGUGCUGGUGAUGAGAUAAAGAUGUUUUGACAAGAUUCAGUGCCAGGUGCGUGGAAACUGCUGUUAAACCAAAUGUUUGUUCCCUUCACUCUUGCUUAUUUCUCUCAUCGUUUCAUUUGUCCAUUUACUCCUCAUUUUGGCAGCCUUUGGCAAUGCAGCUCUCGGUCUGACCUCCCCAGACCAGCUAAUGACCCUGGAGCAGAACCUCUGGGCCAGUGUCCUUGUGAAAAUGUCCAUAUAGUCCUUUCACACCUGUGUCUUUUCCUCUUCUUCCCAGCAGAGUCCACUCCAUGCUUCAGAGGAAGCUGUAAAGUUGGGCUCAGAGAGAUGUUUCUCACUCCUGUCCUCCACAGAUGACAUGUGCUCACUAGCCCACGUGGCUACCAGCCAUUACCUGGGUUAAGUGUUUCAGGCCAAGUGCAUGUAGCUGGGGGGAUCCAUAGGGAAUGAAGGGCAGGUCUGGGCAGGGAGGACAGGCAGGCAGAGCUGGCUUUGCUAUUGCUGCUGCUGGGAUGGAAGUGCCAGGGUUUGCAGGGCUGAGAUGCUGAGUUGGCUGGUAGGAAACUGGCUCGAGUUUUGGACUGUCUCAGUUUACCUCACUCAGUCAGCCUUUCUGAGAGAGCAGAUUGACUGGCUUGGGUGCAGUCCUGCUCAAGUGUCCUAACCUGCUCCUGAGAGUGAGCUGGGAUGGUCUUGCAACCCUGCCUUGUGUUGUGAGAGAUUUGCUCAGCUCUGCAUUGCUUCAGGUCUCUCUCCCAAGCUUAGAAGAUGAAGCUAAAGGUAAGAGCAGUAACUCCAUGUCUGAUUCCAGGUCUCCCAUUUGAAAACCUCGAGCGAGCUCUUCUUCCACCUCCACCCCAGCUGCAUUUCUACUGAAUCCAUGAUUACUGUGAUAAAAUUGCAACUAAAUCCUGUCAGCUCUGAAGCAUGAACUAGGAGGGUUGGUCUUUACAUCAGACAUGUAAUUACCUGUCUACCAAACUGAAAAUCACUGCUGUGCUUAAUCCAAUAGGAACCUGCUCCAGAGAUCAGUCUGCCUGAAUAGCUACCUUGUUGCUCCUGACCCUCAAGUCUGUGGAAGGACAUAGGACUUCAUGUUUGAAAACCCUGGAAGAAAAACUCUCAAACCUGCAGGAUCUUAGAGGCAGAGAAAUCUGUUUUCCUGCAUAAGAAGAGUGCAUUUUUGUGGUGACUGAAUACUGCAUUGCAAUCAGAAUGGCCGAGCUAUUUGU
Molecule: long non-coding RNA, 1449 nt
Organism: Strigops habroptila (Kakapo)
Lineage: Eukaryota; Metazoa; Chordata; Aves; Psittaciformes; Psittacidae
Exons: 3
Source: RefSeq, a predicted model, not a curated record